GAAUAUUGCACAAUGGAGGAAACUCUGAUGCAGCGACGCCGCGUGAGUGAAGAAGGUCUUCGGAUCGUAAAACUCUGUCCUUGGUGAAGAUAAUGACGGUAGCCAAGGAGGCAGCCCCGGCUAACUACGUGCCAGCAGCCGCGGUAAUACGUAGGGGGCUAGCGUUGUCCGGAUUUACUGGGCGUAAAGGGUGAGUAGGCGGUUAUGUAUGUCAGAUGUAAAAGGCGUGGGCUUAACUUACGUUAGCAUUUGAAACUGCAUAACUUGAGUGCGGGAGAGGUAAGUGGAAUUCCUAGUGUAGCGGUGAAAUGCGUAGAUAUUAGGAGGAACACCAGUGGCGAAGGCGACUUACUGGACCGUAACUGACGCUGAGUCACGAAAGCGUGGGUAGCAAACAG
Molecule: ribosomal RNA, 398 nt
Filed under: uncultured bacterium
Lineage: Bacteria
Description: bacterial SSU rRNA
Rfam family: Bacterial small subunit ribosomal RNA
Source: RNAcentral